AACGCCGCCGCCUCUCUCUUCCCCUCCUCUCUCCCACCUUGCAGCCGCCGGCAAAGCCAGGCGGCUGCAAAGACGGCUGCGGCGGGGCUCCUCUUCUCCCUCGCCCUGCACGGCGCCGGCGUCGACGCCCAGAUCCAGCGCCGGCGAGCCGGGAUUCGACCCUCCCUUGGCCGGAUCUGGGCUGGGACGGCGACGACGACACGAGGGCAGCGCAACGGCGGCGGCAACUUCGGAGCGAGGGCCGCGCGGCCGACACUGGGCGGCCCGGGUGGCCGUUGGUGGGCGGUGAGGUGGCGGCGGAGUAGUGGCUUCGGUGAGGCCGCUAUUGGGCUUGGCGGCGGGGUAGAGGACGCUGACGACAAGGUCAUCUUCCUUGUGGUUGGCCACGCGUUCACUGUGUUUGGGGAGCUCCUCCCCUUCUUUAGGCCGACGAGCGACGUGGAGGCGGCCUGGGUCAGCGUGCUAGGGAGUGGCGGCAGGGUAGAAGGCGCUGGCGGCAGGGUUGUCUUCCAUGCCGUCGGCCAGGCUAACCCUGUUUGGGGAGCUCCUCCCCUUCUCUGUGGGAAGCUUCUUGGCAGGCUAGAGGCGGUGGUCGGAUUCGACAGGGAAGCCGGCGGGCGGCGCGGUGGAGGCGGCCUAGGUCAGCGCGCUGGCAAAGGUGAUGGGUGUUGUGGAAGUCUUGUCGUUGGCAGGACUGGAAGCCGGCUGACGGAGGGGCGUCGAUCGAGUGUGGCAGAAGCCAUGCGUGGUAACCCUCCUAAGGGAAUUGUUGAGCAGUUGAGGUACCCCUCCUCCCUCCGCAAGGAGCUCUGGGUGAAAACCUUGUCCCUUUUUGGGACGGAUGAUGAUGGCGUCUCGCGUUGCAACCCUCGCGAGGGCGUCGUUUUAGAGUCUUUGCGCCGAGGUGGUGUUGUUGGCCCGAUGGCGAUCGGUCUCGCAUAG
This 942-nucleotide long non-coding RNA is filed under the name Oryza sativa tropical japonica subgroup. RNAcentral describes it as "lncRNA OsCMeo_04g0019450". Lineage: Eukaryota; Viridiplantae; Streptophyta; Magnoliopsida; Poales; Poaceae. The record is from RNAcentral.